CGUACACUCCUGCGGGAGGCAGCAGUGGGGAAUAUUGCACAAUGGGCGCAAGCCUGAUGCAGCCAUGCCGCGUGUAUGAAGAAGGCCUUCGGGUUGUAAAGUACUUUCAGCGGGGAGGAAGGCGAUAAGGUUAAUAACCUUGUCGAUUGACGUUACCCGCAGAAGAAGCACCGGCUAACUCCGUGCCAGCAGCCCCGGUAAUACGGAGGGUGCAAGCGUUAAUCGGAAUUACUGGGCGUAAAGCGCACGCAGGCGGUCUGUCAAGUCGGAUGUGAAAUCCCCGGGCUCAACCUGGGAACUGCAUUCGAAACUGGCAGGCUAGAGUCUUGUAGAGGGGGGUAGAAUUCCAGGUGUAGCGGUGAAAUGCGUAGAGAUCUGGAGGAAUACCGGUGGCGAAGGCGGCCCCCUGGACAAAGACUGACGCUCAGGUGCGAAAGCGUGGGGAGCAAACAGGAUUAGAUACCCCUGUAGUCCC
Molecule: ribosomal RNA, 475 nt
Filed under: uncultured organism
Description: partial 16S ribosomal RNA
Rfam family: Bacterial small subunit ribosomal RNA
Source: RNAcentral